AGGAACAACCCCAGCCCCAGUGGUUGCUGCAGCUCUGGAAACCUGUAUUCAGCUCCCGCAGGAACUACUCCAUCUGCAGGGGCCUGGAGGCUCCGGGGCGGG
This 102-nucleotide microRNA precursor is filed under the name Canis lupus familiaris (dog). RNAcentral's name for it is "mir-8834 microRNA precursor family". It matches the Rfam family "mir-8834 microRNA precursor family". The record is from Rfam by way of RNAcentral. Lineage: Eukaryota; Metazoa; Chordata; Mammalia; Carnivora; Canidae. RNAcentral also lists the same sequence under 1 other name.